This 253-nucleotide ribosomal RNA is filed under the name uncultured bacterium. Its description in RNAcentral is "partial 16S ribosomal RNA". It matches the Rfam family "Bacterial small subunit ribosomal RNA", at positions 524 to 776 of the family's 1533-position model. The record is from RNAcentral.
UACGGGGGGGGCAAGCGUUGUUCGGAAUUACUGGGCGUAAAGGGCUCGUAGGUGGCCAACUAAGUCAGACGUGAAAUCCCUCAGCUUAACUGGGGAACUGCGUCUGAUACUGGAUGGCUUGAGUUUGGGAGAGGGAUGCGGAAUUCCAGGUGUAGCGGUGAAAUGCGUAGAUAUCUGGAGGAACACCGGUGGCGAAGGCGGCAUCCUGGACCAACACUGACACUGAGGAGCGAAAGCCAGGGGAGCAAACAGG